This 385-nucleotide ribosomal RNA is filed under the name uncultured bacterium. RNAcentral's name for it is "bacterial SSU rRNA". It matches the Rfam family "Bacterial small subunit ribosomal RNA", at positions 30 to 416 of the family's 1533-position model. The record is from RNAcentral.
AUUGAACGCUGGCGGCAUGCCUUACACAUGCAAGUCGAACGGCAGCGCGGGGCAACCUGGCGGCGAGUGGCGAACGGGUGAGUAAAAUAUCGGAACAUACCCUAGAGUGGGGGAUAACGUAGCGAAAGUUACGCUAAUACCGCAUACGCACUAAGGUGGAAAGUGGGGGAUCUUCGGACCUCAUGCUCAUGGAGUGGCCGAUAUCUGAUUAGCUAGUUGGUGAGGUAAAGGCUCACCCAAGGCGACGAUCAGUAGCUGGUUUGAGAGAACGACCAGCCACACUGGAACUGAGACACGGUCCAGACUCCUACGGGAGGCAGCAGUGGGGAAUUUUGGACAAUGGGGGCAACCCUGAUCCAGCAAUGCCGCGUGAGUGAAGAAGGCC